GGUUUCGUCCCAAAACGCCGAAGAAAGGCACAAUGGCCUAGAAAGGGACGACCGGACUUGGAACGGGGUCCGAGGCCUCGAAAGUCCACAUCUAGCUACUGGGCGGUCCGAUCUCGAAGUUUCUUGCCCACAAAAGCCGAACGGUGACGCCAGACUCGAUUUCUUAGUUCCGUCCCAAAAUGACGAAGAAAGGCACAAUGGCCUAGAAAGGGACGACUGGACUUGGAACGGGGUCCGAGGCCUCGAAAGUCCACAUCUAGCUACU
RNAcentral lists this long non-coding RNA (265 nucleotides) under Cucumis sativus (cucumber). RNAcentral describes it as "long non-coding RNA (CSAT_LNC003055)". Lineage: Eukaryota; Viridiplantae; Streptophyta; Magnoliopsida; Cucurbitales; Cucurbitaceae. The record is from RNAcentral.